GGAGGAGGAGGAAGAGAUCACCCCAUCUCCCUCUUCCUUUGACUGUGUGAGCAUCUUAAGAUCUGCCUGUCCCUCACCCUCUCCCAUUCCCCUUCCCCUGGACACCCCAUCCUCCAGACUGAACGAUCCUGAGGGGCCUGCUACUGCCUAAGAGGCUGGGUGUGAGGGAGGAAAAGAAAAGUGAGCAGAACUGAUUGAAGCAUUCAGGAAAUGGUGUGCAAUGUGCAACCCCUGUGGACCUCUCACCUUCUGAAUGGGCCUAUAUUUUGACUUGUGGUACAGGGACCACUUUCCCAAGUUUCUCAAAUCGAGGCUCAAGAGCCUUGGGGACUGGUGGCUUGCCUGUUGUGACUGGAUCUCCAAGUCUCCCAGGCCUGGCCACUAGCCUGUUGGAUUUCAUAUAUGUGAAUGGAGGUAACACUUUAAGUGAACAUGGAAGCUAGCCCAGAGAGUUCAUGCUUUGCAGAAGUGGACCCUUGGGAAACCUCUGAGUAGAGUGACAUGGAAGUCAUUUGAAGCUGCCCAUGGAGUUGGCUACGAGGGAGGGAGGGAGACAGGAAGGGGCCGAGGUGCCUGUGAAGGAACGGGGACAGGAGAUAGUUCCAGGCCACACACGGGGGUCUGGGGACAGAGAAGGAAAACCAAGAGGAGGAUCAGGUGUGUGACAGGGCCAGCCGCUUGAUGGCCUAGCCAGAACCGAGAGGAAGCAUACACAGGGGACAGACACUUGGAGAUGGGACCUGGUCUCACACAGGAGAGUUCAGGCGGCACGGGGACCAAAGACAGACACACGGUACCCGAGCUCGGGUGGACAGAAGCCAGACACCUGGAUAAAUGGGCAGAGCAGCCAACAGUCUGGCCUCAUGGCACCGGAGGUCUCAAACCAAGCCCUGGAGCUGAAGCUGCAGUGGUGGAAGGAGUCGCUCUGCACGUCCAGAGUCCCUUUCUUUCCUCCCUCCUGCCUCUCCAUUAAUCCCCUUUAGAUCCCUGACCUCAUUCAAAAACUGCUCUUUGAUGUUUUCUGCUUCUUUCAUCUUGGGAUCCCAUGUAUCCCUCCCUCUCCCUCUCCUCCUCCCUGAGAGCCAUGCCAUGUGACAAAAGAAUGGUGUUUUUUGUUUUAGGAGGGAAACAAAGUCAACACAAGAGUGGGAGACAAUCUCUCUGGGAACAGUCCAGUUACUACAGGCUAACUCUCUGCGGAAGCACAUCGAAUCUCAGAACACUGAACAAAUGAAAUGCUGAUGGGUGGUGACACACGCUCUGAACACUCAGAGGAAAAGACACUUGUGGCAGAAGACACACUUUCUGGGAACAUUCUGGUGUAAGAGAGAAACUGGGAAGCCUUUGUGGGCAAAGAAAUCAGCCCGUAGGAGAAACAUAGGUGGGGUCGCCAGUUCACCCAGUGUGGCCUGAGACGCCACCUUUGUUUCUCUGAAGAAAGGUUGGUUUCUUUGCUCAGGAAGGCUUCCCAGUCUCUCUCUUACACCACCUACCACAGGCUUGCUUUCUAUGAGAAAACAUCCAGCCUCAGAACACUCAGAGGGAAAGAUACUUGUGGCAGGAGACACUCUCUGGGAACAGUCCAGUUACUACAGGCUCACUCUCUGUGGAAGCACAUCUAGCCUCAGAAUACUCAGUGGAUGAAAUGCUUAUAGGUGGAGACACACUCUCUGAGAACAAUCUACUCGCUGCGCGUUCCCCCUCUGUGGCAACACAUCGAGGGAAAACAGAGGCCAUAGAAGCAUUCCUGAUGAAAAGACAUGCGGUGAGUAGAAAAUGUGGCUUUCAAAUACAAGGCUCAAAAGAAGCAUUAAAAGGGAAAUGUGCCCGAGAAAACAGAAGCAACUCAAUAAGGUUAAACUGUACACUCUUCCAUAAAGGAAGAUGAUACACAGAAUUGGUACAAAAAGGGGAAUUCAUAUACAUAUAUUUAUAUAUGAGUAUAUAUUGAUAUAUGAAUGACUUAAUUGGUCAGAAACAUUUAUCUUACCCUAUAGAUAAGUAGGAGAAGGG
Long non-coding RNA from Dromiciops gliroides (monito del monte), 2013 nucleotides. RefSeq lists it as uncharacterized. Lineage: Eukaryota; Metazoa; Chordata; Mammalia; Microbiotheria; Microbiotheriidae. The transcript has 4 exons. The record is from RefSeq and is a predicted model, not a curated record.